RNAcentral lists this ribosomal RNA (256 nucleotides) under uncultured bacterium. RNAcentral describes it as "partial 16S ribosomal RNA". It matches the Rfam family "Bacterial small subunit ribosomal RNA", at positions 524 to 778 of the family's 1533-position model. The record is from RNAcentral.
UACGUAGGGUGCGAGCGUUAAUCGGAAUUACUGGGCGUAAAGCGUGCGCAGGCGGUUUUGUAAGCCAGAUGUGAAAUCCCCGGGCUCAACCUGGGAAUGGCAUUUGGGACUGCAAGGCUUGAGUUUGGCAGAGGAGACUGGAAUUCCUGGUGUAGCAGUGAAAUGCGUAGAUAUCAGGAGGAAUACCGAUGGCGAAGGCAGGUCUCUGGGCUGAUAACUGACGCUCAUGCACGAAAGCGUGGGGAGCAAACGAAGG